Long non-coding RNA from Dama dama (fallow deer), 2790 nucleotides. RefSeq lists it as uncharacterized. The record is from RefSeq and is a predicted model, not a curated record. Lineage: Eukaryota; Metazoa; Chordata; Mammalia; Artiodactyla; Cervidae. The transcript has 4 exons.
GAACCUUUGCGAACCGGUUGCUUAUCUGCAUAUUGUGGCCCUACCGUUCCCCCUCUCUCACAACAAAAAAAAUAGUAAAAUGAAAAGCGACACAGAACAAUGAAAUGAAUAAGGCAACCUUCACCGAACAAAGUGCGGCCUUCAACGUUCCACUUUUAUACUCACCGUAUCGCUAAUGAGAAUGGGAUUCAUUACCUAGGAAGUAAGCCAGGAGUCUAUCCUAAAAGAAACCACCAGAGAGGAGGCUGAAGAUAGCCACUGUUAUUUACAAAUCCGCAAACUGGAAACAGCCCAACUGUCCAACAGCAGGGAUCUGCUACCAAAAAGCCAUGAUCCAGCAGGCCUAUGGCAAGUUUCUGACCACAGAGGGAAAGCAUGCCUGCCAUUAGGAUGUGUGAGGAGCGACCCAGUCUGAAGCUCACCUUGCUCCGCAGUUCUUCAAUGGUCAGUCGGGACAAACACUGCUUAGGGACUGAGGGCACAUUCUGGCCCCUCAAGUGACCCCUGUGCCGAGCAGCUCAGCAGGAUCUCAACCCCAGAGGGACAGAGGGACCCGCCAGAUACUUGCCACCUGCCACAUGCUCCCUCCCCUCCGAGAAGCCACAGUCAGCCACCUCCUGAUCCCACAGGAGGUGCCUGACCCCAGGCCAGCCUCUGAGCCCUGGCCAACGAGUGGGGGGCCUACCCAGGCCAGCCCUCUGGUUUGGCUCUGGCAAGACAGCAGGCCCAGGGCCGUGCGAGCAGCAGACAGAGCAACACUGCAUCUAUCAGGCCAGCAGGCUCCACCAGGCCCGCCUGAGGCUGGGGGACGGGUCCUGUUCCCUGAGUACCUCCAGCUCCAAACACCCACUUAUCUGGCUUCUCUCUGUCCUUCACAAUCUGGAAGAGCCUCACUAAAGCCUUUGACACCAACAGAAACGCAGCUGUGGAAGUCCAAGGUCAUGCGGUGGUUGAGGGGCCUUGUCUAGAUGGACACUGCCCAGUGUCACACUGUGCACGCUCCACGAGGGAGGGGGAGGUCCCUUGGGGGAGGGGGAGCAAGUCAGUCUCAGCUGGUCCUGGAUGAGGAAGCCUCCACUGUGCUGAGAAACAGGGUAUAUUCUCUACUACACGGGCACUGUGCUCAGUGACUGGCUGCUGGGAAGCUCAGAGGGAUACGCAUGGUCAGUCCUGGUAAGGGUGCACCACCGCCCAUACUCCUGUACAAACCUCACUCUAGGUUCCAUUUUAUGGGUCUGCCCUUGGUUUUUUCUUUCACUCCCACUUUCCAUUGGUACCACUCUGACUCACUCCACAAAGUCUCCCUAAACUGCCUAAAAUCCCUCUGGAACGGGGCAGGAUGUAGGCAUGUAGAUCACAUUUUAUCAACAGAUCUCAAAGUACUUUGUAAAAAAACUUAAUGGGAUUAAACCCUAUUUGCUAGUGUAUGAAAUGUACAGGUGUAUAAGAGACAUCUCAGUUUGACAAGGAUUUUUUUUAGAUAAGUCUUUCUCUUUACAUGUAUACUGAAGGAGACUUUGUGGGGGAAACACAGUCAGCAGGCCCCUCCCCCCACUCCUCUAGCUCCACAAUCGCCACGCUGGCCUGGUACCGUGUUCUUUUUCAGCAUCUACCUUUUCCAGUUUAUACCUGAUGGUUCAGCAGCCCUCAAACUACUCUCGAAUCGCGGACAGGGUAAUAAUAAAUGGCCACGGUGAGCUGGACCAAGGGAGACCAUGCAGACAGAAGGCUCCACCUGGCAGAGGGCUCACAGCACAGGCGGGCGUGGGCCAGCACCCCCACCCCAGCCCGCCCGCCAGCCCGGGCCGCUCACCUUCAGGGGCUUUGUCCACUGUGUACCAGAGCUUGAAGCGCGCAGAGUGCUCAUUCCUUAGUUCCUCCAGCUCAGGCCGCAGUAGGAUGUCUUUCUCAGUCUGCGGGGGGCAGACAGGGCCCAGUGGUCAGGAGGGACAGCGACAGGGACUGCCCUUGGAGACCCUCGUCAUCCCACCCACCCAUGGGCCACACGCUUGGCAAAGCUUCCAGGGAAAGUCCAAGUCUUUUUAUGUUCUGGCAUCUCAGGCUAUAUCAAUAGGUCCAUAAUUUAGGAAAUAUAGAUGCGACUCCCCAAAUCACACAACCUGCAACCUUGCCCACAUCGAUCCCUCUGCUUGGCCUGCAGCUCCCCACCUUCAGCCCCACUGAUUUCACUCAGCCAGCCCCACGUGGUCCUGUAGAGUUCAGCUUGUGUCACCUCUUCCGGAAAGCCUUCCUAGACCCCCGGGGAGUGUUAGCAAUCUACUCCGGAAACAUCCCCUUUCCAUUCGUAAGCACAGACUUUGCCCGGAAUGUUUGCAGGUCACUCACAGACCUGGCUCCUCCGGUCAGUGGGCAGUAUGACGGACUCACAGGACUGUUGUGAAACUGGGGCCAAAGAGCUCCGUCAACCAGCAAAGGUCACCCGCUCACCGACCUCUCCUGAGCCCCGCGCUGGGAUAGGCAGGCAACGAGAGAGGCAUGGAAAUUGUUCUGAACAUCCUCCUUUGUGAACAUCUCUCUGACCGUCCUCAGUGCCCUGCCAAUUCCUUAGGAUCAACUUGAGGAAGUGGAGUCCAGGGCAGAAAAUUCCACAUGGUUAGGGCGUUCGAUACAAGCCGCUGCUUUAUUCCCCACGUAGGUUACAACCAACACAGAGGCCAGCAGGGAGUCCUGGGGUACUCACCCCUCUACACCUCUACCAGGACUGGGUAAUAAUCAUUUAAGCUUUGCCAAUCAGAUUGAUGGAAAGUAAAGCUUGUGUUUUAUCUUUUA